RNAcentral lists this ribosomal RNA (322 nucleotides) under uncultured eukaryote. RNAcentral describes it as "partial 18S ribosomal RNA". It matches the Rfam family "Eukaryotic small subunit ribosomal RNA", at positions 1470 to 1796 of the family's 1831-position model. The record is from RNAcentral.
CCCUUAGAUGUUCUGGGCCGCACGCGUGCUACACUGAGUGGAUCAGCGGGUCAGGUUGCGCGAAAGUGUUUCCUAAUCUUGAAAUCCGCUCGUGAUGGGGAUUGACGGUUGCAAUUUUCCGUCAUAAACGAGGAAUACCUUGUAAGCGCGGGUCAUCAUCCCGCGCUGAAUACGUCCCUGCCCUUUGUACACACCGCCCGUCGCUCCUACCGAUUGAGUGGUCCGGUGAGGCUUUGGGAUCUGAGCGGAAAGAGCGUUUCGCUGUUUCUGCUCGGAAAACUCAGUCGAACCUUAUCAUUUAGAGGAAGGAGAAGUCGUAACA